Molecule: long non-coding RNA, 389 nt
Filed under: Ostreococcus sp. 'lucimarinus'
Lineage: Eukaryota; Viridiplantae; Chlorophyta; Mamiellophyceae; Mamiellales; Bathycoccaceae
Description: long non-coding RNA (OLUC_LNC000009)
Source: RNAcentral
CUACUCUAACUUGAAAGAGAGAGGAAUUAAUCAAAUUUCUAGCUGUCAACUCGUCAGUUUGGACAAACAGUCGGAUGGUCGGUUGUUGUUAAGAACGUCUACUGAAGAAUUAGAAACGGAUGUAGUUAUCUUUGCGACAGGAAGGAUACCAAAUACAACUAGACCGAAACUUGGGCUAGAAAGUGUGGGGGUCGAACUUUCUGCAACGGGUGCCAUAAAAGUGGAUGAAUACAGUAGAACUACGGUGAGCAAUAUAUGGGCUGUUGGUGAUGUUACCGAUAGAGUCAAUUUGACACCGGUUGCGCUUAUGGAAGGGAUGGCCUUUGUAGACACAGUCGUAAGGGGUAAUCCGACUAAACCGGAUUAUGAGAAUAUACCAUGUGCAGUAU